Molecule: long non-coding RNA, 801 nt
Organism: Rosa rugosa (rugosa rose)
Lineage: Eukaryota; Viridiplantae; Streptophyta; Magnoliopsida; Rosales; Rosaceae
Exons: 2
Source: RefSeq, a predicted model, not a curated record
AUUUUAUAAACAGUACACUAACUAAAGGCCACUAAUAAUUUUUAUACAUAAAGUUACAAAUUAUAAACUUUAGUACACGAACUUAGAAUUCCGACCCAUUAUCUAGACACGACGUCAUUAACACCGUUACUCUUAUGCCAUUACUCACUUGCCAGAGGGUAAUUUAGUACUUUUACCUCUCUCUGACUUUGACUCUCUCUCUCUCCAUCCAUGGCCGUGACUGGAACUCAGUUAUUGCAGACUUGGCUUGGAGUGGUAACUCCAUCAAAUCCCUCCGAGCCUUUUCUUGAAUGCGAAAGCUCUCUCAGACCCUAUCGCUCCUCCUUUCCUUGUGCCAUCAAAUCCUGCUCGGCUCUAUUGGAUCUUCACUCUGGCAGUUCGGAUCAGUUUUGAUUCCGAUGUAGAGUGUCUGACAUCCUGGUAUAAGAAGUGAUGACGAGACCGAAGGUGUUGGUAGGAUAACGACCGAUGAUCGCUGACUGGAAGAAGAAGAUGAUGAUGAUGGAGGAAGAAGUAGAUCAAAUCUAGAGUAAGAAGAAGAUGACAAAGAAAGCGGAGGAAUGGAUUCAUGAUUUAUCAUCCCAUUUGCUGUUAGCGUUCUGUACUUUUCUGGAAAUUUCUUGGCUCCUUCUCAACUCAAGUUUGUGGUUGAUUAAGCCUUGUCUCAUAUGUUGAGAAACAGAGAUGAAUCAAGUUCCCACAGUUCUUAUUCAAUGGUUCCAUCAUGAGCUUUGGCAUAUGAUUGCAAAUUGAUAUAACCUCCUGGAAAUAAGAAUUGUGCCCAAUUUUAUUUUAUUUUUA